GCCUAAGGACUCACAUUUUUGAUGAUGCAUUUGUUUUUACAAGAAUAUUGAGCUUCCAAGUAAAAUCUUUGUGAAAUCAGAGCAUAAGCUAUUAAGGUCACUAAAAUAAAUAUAAAAUACCUUUUAAUUAUAAACACUACGAUUAAAACGUAUGUGGAGAGAACCCCAAAAAAUUUUUUAAAACAUGUAAAAAAGGCAAAAAGAAAUCAAUCAUGUGUUUCUAAUGGUUAAUCACUAUUUUGUAAAAAGAAUCCCAAAAAUUAUCAAUAGAAAUUCACAAUAUUUCAAGAACACUCAAAGGUAUUUUCCCUCUGUAGAUUUUCAGAUACCACUGUCUACUGAUUGAGGGACUCCAACUUGAUCCAGCAAUCAAGCUAUGUAGACUAACAGAAACAGAAUUAAAGCAAUUAAGUGAGUCAAUUCAUCUCAUCACACUUUGGUUUUUGUGUGUACCUAAUAAAAAUGUUGCAACAGAAGAAGUAAUGCGGCGUUAAACCAAUCAGAGUUUGGGAAGAGUAGUAAUUAGCAUAAGAAACUGAAAAUUAAUUAAGUGGCUUUUAGGGCCAGGCGCGGUGGCUCACGCCUGUAAUCCUAGCACUUUAGGAGGCUGAGGUGAGUGGAUCAUUUGAGGACAGGAGUUCAAGACCAGCCAGGCCAACAUGAUGAAACACCGCCUCUACUAAAAAUACAAAAAUUAGCCGGGCCUGGUGGCAGGCGCCUGUAGUCCCAGCUACUCGGGAGGCUGAGACAGGAGAAUCGCUUGAACCCGGGAGGUGGAGGUUGCAGUGAGCCAAGAUCGUGCCUAGGCGAUCUGCACUCCAACCUGGGCGACAGAGCGAGACUCUGUCUCAAAAUAAUAAUAAUAAUAAGAAGAAGAAGAAGAAGAAGAAGAAGAAGUGGCUUUUUUUUCUUUUUUUUUCUUUUUUUUUUUUUUUGAGAAAUGGUCUUGCUCUGUUGCCAGGGAUGGAGUGCAGUCGUAUGAUCUAUUCACUGCAGCCUUGAACUCCUAGGCUCAAGCAAUCCUCCCACCUCAGCCUCCCCAGUAGCUGGGACUACAUGCCGGUGCCACUACAUCCAGCUCAUUUUCUUUUUUCUGUAGAGAUGGGGCCUCACUAUGUUUUGCCCAGGCUGGUCUCCAACUCCUCGCCCCAUGUUAAUCUCCAGCCUCCGUCUCCCAAACUGCUAGGAUUACAGGCGUGAGACACCACGCCAGGCCCAAGUGGCAUCAUAAACCACCUCUAGGAAAUCUAAAGUAUUAAUAAUGAUAUUCACUUCUCUAUCAGAUUGACUGCAAAGAUUUUUCUAUAUAAGCAUAAUGCAGCAACACUAACUUAUAUACACAAUAAUCUUCUCCAUAGCAAUGAUUUGUUAGACAUUAGGAAAUCCUUUACAUAUUUAAUAUAAUAAUCCAAUCCUUUAUAUCUUCAAUAAUCCAAUCACAAAGUUUAAAAAUAUUAAGAGAAGCUAUCAUGCAACUCCUCACCCCAAUUUUAUUACAAAUUUUACUUUACUUAACUUUGACCUGAUGUUCCAUGCCCACAAGCUAGAUAACAAUGCGUCAAAUAUCUCGUUAUCAUUGCAAAGCAAAAAAAUAAAACUAGCUUUAAUAUAAAACGGUAACUAGUAUACAACCUGUAGUAGUUAAAACAAUAUAAAAUUUUACUUAACCAGAUAUUACACGUUAAACUCUAGGAACAUUAACAGUGGAAACAUUCUCCGCAUCUAACAAAUUACGAGAUAAAGUAUAGAUCCGUUGAGAGAGGGAACUAACAUUCUGACCUCCUUCCAAAAUGACAAACUAGAACGGCAAAAUUACACUCAGGCACAUUGGAGUACUCUUCUCUCAAAUCACUCCACAGAGAACUUCAUCAUUUGCUCCGCCCUCUAAUAACUCAUGCAAGAAAAGUUCAGCACCAUCAGAGAGAAACAAGACAGAGAGAAUUCAUAGAAUAGCUUUAGGGCCUUUCCUCCAGGCGGUAAGAGGAUCUGCGUGUGCCCUUCGCAGGGGUCCAAAGGGAGAGAACAACCUAGGCCUAGGGUUUCGGGGAUACUGACACCCAGAAACAGAUUUUCUCUCAAAGAAGUUUCUGCCGCCAUCCCUAUCUUAUCAGCAGGAGGCCUCGGCGCCAUCGUCUCCGUCUUUAUGAUUUUAUUAUGGGGAGGUGGGAAACGCCACCCUGGAUUCCUCCAGGCCUCCCCUAUUCAGCUUGGGGGUUCCCCCUCAUUCUUCCCUCAAAGCGUCAGUCCCUGAGGUCCUCCUCAGCACCCCCCGCUGCUGGCGGCCUGUCCCCCGUGAAGUGUAAAGGCACUGCCGAACCCACCGGCCUCGCCGUGAAGGCGGGAGGGCCCGAACCCGCCAGGGCCACGGCAAUGGCUCCGAGGGGCCCAGAAAGGGGAAGGGCAGGCCGGGGACCGGGGCAGAAUGACCUGGCCGGGGAAGAAAGGAAAAAAGGAGGUGAGGAGAUGCACCGCACCGCAGGGCUGCACAGAGAAGGGAAGAUGAUGAAGGAGGAGGAGGAGGGCGGUGGCCCGGGUGCGGCCCCCCACUCCUCCCGCCCCCGGGUCCCCGGGCCGGCGGGGGCGGACGGACUCGGCCCAUUCCCAGGUCUGGGCUGGCGGGGGGUUGGGGGAUCUCCCUCCACACUACUAGGAGACAGAGAACGAGGGUAUCGGGAGCGGCGGGGGCUGUCUCCCGCCUGAACCCGGAGACCCCGACGCCGUCGUCGCCUCUUCCUCAGGAGGGAGGACGGGAGCUGUGGGUAAAGCCCGAAGGAGGAAUGCCUGAAGGUAAGGGGAAGCCCGGAGCAGACCCGCCGCCCGCUCCGGACCCCACUCUCCACCUUCCGGUAACCGCGUCUCUUACCGGUGAUGGUGGUGAACUGUUGAAUUAACCCCUUCAGCGCCGAAGACGCCGCGGAGCCCCCGUGGGCAGCCAUCUUACCGCCGCCGCCGCCGCCGAACAACAACACAGACACACACGGACUGCCCUCCCCCACCUCGCCGUGCGGUGUGCGCAGGCGCAUUGACCGCCCCUCAAGCCCCGCCCCUCCCGCCCCCAGCGGUCUGCGCAGGCGCAUUUUCCCACCGGGCCGGCGCGCUCCCCGCUCUCCGGUUGGCUGCUCGGUUGCUGCCUGCUCAGUGCAUCCUUUUUGCCAUUGCUGGUGCCUUCCUCCCCGGGCUCCCAGGCUAGCCUUGCAGGCGCGGUGUCGAUUCCUAGAUUCCGAAAGAAGCUUCGGUCUCGGCAGAUAGUUCUUCGCAUUUCAGCUUCGCAAGCUUUAUUGACAGAGCCAGCUGCCGAUGACAGCAUUUUUUCUGUUUUGCGGUUCCACCGCACUCUUAGGUUUCCUGCAGGUCACAUCAAAAUGCAAACCCUACCUCCUCGCUUUGAAGCGACUCUCCCCGUACUCGCCCCCCAGCCUCUAAACUAAUGGCUUAGCUAACCGAUUGUGGCGAGUGAAAUACCAGAACCGUUCAUGCCAAAGAAAGCACUUAGCGCGGGGUUGCCACCCAGUAGGUUUUCAUAAACGAUUGUUUAGUCUGCUUUUCUUAAAUAAAUUGGCCAUCACGUCU
This is an RNA transcript of Pongo pygmaeus (Bornean orangutan), 3570 nucleotides long. It is a transcript of the gene named collagen alpha-1(I) chain-like, with no coding region annotated. The record is from RefSeq and is a predicted model, not a curated record. Lineage: Eukaryota; Metazoa; Chordata; Mammalia; Primates; Hominidae. The transcript has a single exon.